GACGAACGCUGGCGGCGUGCCUAAUACAUGCAAGUAGAACGCACAGUUUAUACCUUAGCUUGCUACACCAUAAACUGUGAGUUGCGAACGGGUGAGUAACGCGUAGGUAACCUGCCUGGUAGCUGGGGAUAACUAUUGGAAACGAUAGCUAAUACCGCAUAAUAUUGAUUAUUGCAUGAUAAUUGAUUGAAAGAUGCUAUUGCAUCACUACCAGAUGGACCUGCGUUGUAUUAGCUAGUAGGUGAGGUAACGGCUCACCUAGGCGGUGAUACAUAGCCGACCUGAGAGGGUGAUCGGCCGCACUGGGACUGAGACACGGCACAGACUGCUACGGGAGGCAGCAGGAGGGAAUCGUCGGCAAUGGGCGAAAGUCUGACCGAGAAACGCCGCGGGAGGGAAGAGGGUUGUCGGAUCGUAAAGCUCGGUUGUAAGAGAAGAACGGGUGUGAGAGUGGAAAGUUCACACUGUGACGGUAUCUUACCAGAAAGGGACGGCUAACUACGUG
Molecule: ribosomal RNA, 505 nt
Filed under: uncultured bacterium
Lineage: Bacteria
Description: partial 16S ribosomal RNA
Rfam family: Bacterial small subunit ribosomal RNA
Source: RNAcentral